Bos taurus (domestic cattle) is the source of this 72-nucleotide non-coding RNA. The record is from Rfam. Lineage: Eukaryota; Metazoa; Chordata; Mammalia; Artiodactyla; Bovidae.
UCUCUGGUGGCUCAGAUGGCAAAGAAUCCACCUGCAAUGUGGGAGACCUAGGUUAGAUCCCUGGUUUGGGAA